UACGAAGGGGGCUAGCGUUGUUCGGAAUUACUGGGCGUAAAGGGCGCGUAGGCGGUACUUCAAGUCAGGCGUGAAAGCCCCGGGCUCAACCUGGGAAUUGCAUUCGAGACUGAAUAGCUAGGGUGCGGUAGAGGGAAGCGGAAUUUCCGGUGUAGCGGUGAAAUGCGUAGAUAUCGGAAGGAACAUCAGUGGCGAAAGCGGCUUCCUGGACCAGCACCGACGUUCAGGCACGAAAGCGUGGGGAGCAAACAGG
This 253-nucleotide ribosomal RNA is filed under the name uncultured bacterium. RNAcentral's name for it is "partial 16S ribosomal RNA". It matches the Rfam family "Bacterial small subunit ribosomal RNA", at positions 524 to 776 of the family's 1533-position model. The record is from RNAcentral.